This 469-nucleotide long non-coding RNA is filed under the name Fukomys damarensis (Damara mole-rat). RNAcentral describes it as "lncRNA (ENSFDAG00000027137.1)". The record is from RNAcentral. Lineage: Eukaryota; Metazoa; Chordata; Mammalia; Rodentia; Bathyergidae.
UCUCUUCAUUCGUCUUCAUAGCCAGUUGGAAGCAGAUUCACAUGAGGGUUACGGUUACCAUCUUCCCAUAGAUAGGGCUUGGUUCUGAUGCGCAGGUGCGGUUAGGUGAUGAACUCGGGUCUCUCCUCCUCUCCGUGGUACGACUUCAAGAAAACAUUUGGCAUGCUCACUCCUGCCCCAAGCGCCACCACGAAAAAGGUCAGCAUAACAAAACAAAACAUAGAGGACCUCAAGGGAAAACAAGACAUUCUGUGAAAGGGUUUAUGAACCAAUCAAAGUAGCACAGUCAAUGACAUCAACAUACCAAGGCUGAACUCUGAUGCAGUGGGGAAAAAAACAGAAAGUCACACUCAAAUAAAGCAGUGCCAUACUAGGAGCUAUUGAAGAAAGACCUGACAAACGUGCUGGUAAGUGUAUUGUAUCAGUAUGCUAGUUAACAGACUUACAUCACACCCAGUCUGCACACAGC